CAGCAGUUCAAGACUGGCCUGGCCAACAUGGUGAAACCCUGUCUCUACUAAAAAUACAAAGAAUUAGCUGGGUGUGGUGGUGGGCACCUGUAAUCUCAGCUACUCGGGAGGCUGACAGGAGAAUCACUUGAACCCAGGAGGUGGCAGUUGCAGCGAGCCAAGAUCGCGCCACUGCACUCCAGCCUGGGCAACAGAGCAAAACUCUUUCUCAAAAAAAUAUAUAAUAAUAUGAUAAAUUGGUUACAAAAGUGUUGUAGAGGCUGAAGGAGCAAAAGGGAGAACGGAGGGUACUGAGGAACAUAAAAGUCAAAGGGGUGGUAGUCAUUGCCGGCGCUGGUAGCAGAGGUGCUGUCUAAAAAAACAAAACAAAACAAAAUCGAUACCAUCAGCCUAAUAGAUACACAAUAAACACAUGGGUAGGAGAGGAACUGUUUCUUACAAACCCUUUAACUAUGAUCAUCAUGCUUGAGUUUAAGGAGCAGGCACGUUUGAGCUGAUGACAAACUUUGAGCUGACAAAACUGAGGCUUACAGCAACCUCCACCUCCCGGGUUCAAGCGAUUCUCCUGCCUAUGCCUCCCGAGUAGCUGGGAUUACAGGCAUGCACCACUACACCCGGCUAAUUUGUUUUGUAUUUUCAGUAGAGAUGGAGUUUCACCGUGUUAGCCAGGGUGGUCUCAAUCUGCUGACCUCAUGAUCCGACUGCCUCAGCCUCCCAAAGUGCUGGGAUUACAGGCAUGAGCCACUGCGCCCAGCCUCACCCAGCAAAUUUUUGGUUUUUUGUUUUGUUUUGUUUGUUUGUUUGAGACAGAGUCUCGCUCUGUCACCGAGGCUGGAGUGCAGUGGUGCGAUCUUGGCAUACCGCAGCCUCUGCCUUCUGGGUUCAAGCAAUUCUCCUGCCUCAGCCUCCCCAGUAGCUGGGAUUACAGGCAUGCACCACCACGGCUGGCUAAUUUUUGUAUUUUUAGUAGAGAAGGGGUUUCACCAUGUUGCCCAGGCUGGUCUUGAAUUCCUGCCUUUAGGUGAUCUGCCUGCCUUGGCCUCCCAAAGUGCUGGGAUUAUAGGAGUAAGCCACUGUGCCCAGGCUUAAUUUUUAUAUAUAUAUUUUUUUGUAGAGACAAGUUCUUGUUAUGUUGCCCGGGCUGGUCUCCAACUCCUGGCCUCAACUCAUCCUCUGGUCUUGGCCUCCCAAAGUGCUGGGAUUAUAGGCAUGAGCCACUGCGCCUGGCCCUCAAUAUUUAUUUAUGAUUUGCUAUUGUUUGCCUAUUUGUCCCCUCCAAAACUCAUGUUGAAAUUUAAUCCUCAAUGCGGCCAUAUCAAGAAGUGGGGCCUUUAAGAGGUGUUUGGGUCACGAGGGCUCUGCCCUGAUGAGUGGAUUAAUCCACUUAUAGAUUAAUGGGUAUUAAAUGCAUUGGCGGCUUAUCAUGGGAGUGGGACUGGUGGCUUUAUAAGAAGAGAGACCUGACUUAGCAUGUCCAGCCCCCUUGCCAUGUGAUGCUCUGCAUUGCCUCAGAAUUCUGCAGAGUCCCCACAAGCAAAAAGACCCUCACCAGAUGUACCCCUCAACCGUGUACUUCCCGGCCCCCAGAAUUCUAAGCGAAUUAACGCAGGAACAAAAAACCAAACAGUGCAUGUUCUUACUUGUAAGUGGGAGCUAAAAAGGCCAGGCACAGUGAGUCACACCUGUAAUCCCAGCACUUUGGGAGGCUGAAGCCGGAGGACUGCUUGAGCCCAAACGUUUGAGACCAGCCGGGGAACGAAGUGAAACCACGUCUCUACAAAAAAUACAAAAUUAGCCAGGCAUGAUGGUAUACACCUGUGGUCCCAGCUACUCGAGAGGCUGAGGUAGGAGGAUCGAUUAAGCCCGGGAGGUCGAGGCUGCAGUGAGCCGUGAUUGUGCCACUGCACUCCAGCCUGGGUGACAGAAUGAGACCCUGUCUUAAAACAUAUAUAAAAAUAAGUGAGAGCUAAACAUGGAGCACACAUGGACAUAAACAUGGGAAGAACAGACACUGUGGACCACUAGAGUGGUUGAAAAACUACCUAUUGGAUACUAUGCUCACUACCUGGUGUGAUACCAGGUAACAAUCCUGCACAUGUACCCUGUGUAUCUAAAAUAAAAGCUGAAUUUUUUUUAAAAAAUUUGUUUUUAAUAAAUGACCCAGUUUUAGGUAUUGUUAUAAGUAACAAAAAAUGGACUAAGACAUUCUUCUUUUGUU
RNAcentral lists this long non-coding RNA (2218 nucleotides) under Homo sapiens (human). Its description in RNAcentral is "HSALNT0181898". The record is from RNAcentral. Lineage: Eukaryota; Metazoa; Chordata; Mammalia; Primates; Hominidae.